This is a non-coding RNA of Paramuricea clavata, 256 nucleotides long. The record is from the annotation of a GenBank genome assembly. NCBI's taxonomy places the organism in Eukaryota, Metazoa, Cnidaria, Anthozoa, Malacalcyonacea, Plexauridae.
ACUUCUUCCACUCCAAAAUUAACUUUGCAAAAUAAAUUUAUUGUAAAGACACUAGCAAACCUCAAACUAUCCAUGCAUACGUAAAAGUUUUACAAUUUUUGCGUAAUUGGCAUGGUCAGGCAGAUAGGAGAGAAAAGUAGGAGAGGAAAUAUAACAGAUAGGAGAGGAAAUCCCAUUUCUCCUUCAUUCAUCUUGUGCCCUGAGGGCUAGUAAGUACAUUUCGGCGGCGUUAAAAUUCUUGUAGUCUCUUACUGAC